RNAcentral lists this long non-coding RNA (1368 nucleotides) under Salmo salar (Atlantic salmon). RNAcentral's name for it is "lncRNA (ENSSSAG00000098110.1)". The stretch from base 759 to 812 matches the Rfam family "UnaL2 LINE 3' element". The record is from RNAcentral. Lineage: Eukaryota; Metazoa; Chordata; Actinopteri; Salmoniformes; Salmonidae.
AGCCGAUCUAUGAGUUAUAUUUCUAUGGCGCCGCCCUCUCGUUGCGGUGACGUGUCCCUCUCAUUACGGUGACGUGGCCCUCUAACCGGAAGCGAGAGGACUGGAGACCUGCGACAGCAUCACACAUCGGAAAGGCAAACUGAGUCUGCAACCAACUAAAUUACACAUCGGCGAGAAAUAACAUGGUGACGGACGUGCAGCUGGCCAUCUUCGCCAACAUGUUGGGUGUUUCUCUGUUCCUGCUGGUGGUUCUAUAUCACUACGUGGCCGUCAACAACCCCAAGAAACUGGAGUAGAAAGAACUGGCCUGGAGAGGUGAGGAGAGAGGACAGAGGAUAGAGGACAGGAGGUGAGGACAGAGGUGAGGUGGCGGCUGAAGGGGGGACCAGAGAGAGCAGCGGUGAGACGACGCCUCUUCUCACCUUCGUCGUCUGUCUCUCCUUCCCCGUCUGUCUCUCCCAGCCUGUACAGGAGUGUUUUCUAAUAAAAUGUCUGUCAACAAAAGCCUGUCAGUUUGUGGUGGUGAUUGACUGAAAAACCUUGUUGGCAUUUCUACUAACAUUUUAAGGGAACAAACAUUACAAUAUGUGCACUCUGGAUGGAAUUCAUGGAUUUUGGCCAGCCGGGCUUCUAGACCGCAAUUCCUACUAGCCUGGAUCCAAAAUCGGUGCCAUAGGAUAAAGUAAUCCUUCUAACCCCCCCCUAAAGAUUUAGAUGCACUAUUGUAAAGUGGUUGUUCCACUGGAUAUCAUAAGGUGAAUGCACCAAUUUGUAAGUCGCUCUGGAUAAGAGCGUCUGCUAAAUAACGUAAAUGUAAUAUUUGGGAAGACAAAAAAUGGAAAGCCAGCCCUAUCUUAAAUUCCAUUCCAUGAUAUCCUACAGACUAUACACUACAGAGAGAGAGAAAGUCUUGUAUCAUUACCCAUCAGUCUGGUUUAAUUAGCGUUUCGCUACACCAGCAGUAACAUCUGAUAAACAUGUGUCUGUGACCAAUAAAAUGUGAUUAGAUUUGAUCUCAGCAUCAGUGUGGUAUUGACUAUAUAGACCCCUAUGGGCCCUGCUCCAAAGUAGUGCACUAUAUAGGGCUCUGCUCCAAAGUAGUGCACUAUAUAGGGCCCUGCUCCAAAGUAGUGCACUAUAUAGGGCCCUGCUCCAAAGUAGUGCACUAUAUAGGGCCCUGCUCCAAAGUAGUGCACUAUAUAGGGCCCUGCUCCAAAGUAGUGCACUAUAUAGGGCCCUGCCCCAAAGUAGUGCACUAUAUAGGGCCCUGCUCCAAAGUAGUGCACUAUAUAGGGCCCUGCUCCAAAGUAGUGCACUAUAUAGGGCCCUGCUCCAAAGUAGUGCACUAUAUACAGUGGGGGAAAAAAG